AUAAUUUAUAUUUCUUGAAUAAAUGAAAUUUAAAGCACAGCUGAAUAAAUAGCCGAUUACACUCUGUAUAUGCACCAAACAGAUAACACCUUGAUGACGGGUGAUUUAUUUUCAGCAUGAUAUAUAUAUUUAUACUGUCUUUGGGACAACACUUGAUAUACAGAUAGCCUUUGGGGCGUAUGUCAAGUGGUCACCCUUUGGGGGUAGCUCUGCACAUGUGUAUGACCAGUAUUUUAUUAGCUAUUGGGCCAAAUUUAUCAUUAUAGAGCCUAAGAUGCCAGCAUUGCUCUCAGGCUGUUAUUAUUUUAUUAUACCUGAGAUGCCAACAUUAUCUGCAGGGAACAUAUUAUGAGUGUAUCUAUUUUUCACAGUUAUUUUAUAUUGAUUGAAUUAAAUUGUAUUUAUUCAGCUGACUUAUUUUAGCUAAAUGUAUGGUACUAUUAAGUACCUAAGCCUUAUCUUUUCCCCUUUGUUAUUUAUUUAUCCGCUCACUGAGUAUGUUGUACUCACCCCUUAUAUUUCGUUUAAUAUUUCAGUUUCUUUUUGGUGAUCUGCUCAGCAGUCCUCAUCUCCUAGUUUAUCCUUCUUUCUACAUCGUCUACUCAGAGUCUAGAGGAGGUCGGACCAAUCCUAAGUCUUUUGUCUUUUCUUUUUGUAAUCUUGAUAGAUCAUGUAUAGAUUGUACAGUCCAGUGGAAACGGUAUUUUGUUGUUGUAACUAUUUUAUGAAUUGAUAGGUCCAACUAUCAGUUUUUCUCUUAUAUGUUUUAUAAUUUGGAAUUAUAGCAGGUUACAUGUUUUUAUAAGUAUAAUUAUCAGGGGAAGUUCUGUCAGUUUUCCGGGUCAUAUCAGUCUCUACAGUUUGGGGAUUGGGUGUGACAGAUAGAGAUAAGAUAGGAGUAGUAGUGUUUAUUUUAAAUUAUUAAAUUCUAUCUUUUUGUGCCUAUAUAAAACUCCUAGCUAGAUCAUCAUAUUUUCUCCUCUCUUCUUUCUCCGUUCUUACUGCCGCCCUCUCUCUUCUUCUUCAUCUUCUUCUUUUAUUUUUCUUCUUUUUUUUCUUUUUUUUUUUCUUUAACUUUUGCAAUUUUAUUAUGACCUUUAGAGGUUAAACAAUUAUUUUCAGUUGAAAGUUAAUUUCUGAAUUCGAAGAACACUACUUCAAUUGUCGUUUUCUUGAGAAUUUAAGGAACUCAUUGAAUCUCUUCGAAAGACAACAUAUUACUAAUUAAUCUAAUUAGAUCUGUAAUUGUUUAAUUAAAUUAAUAACCAGUAGCAGUUAACAUAUUAAUUUAUAUUAAGAAAUUGGUAGAUUUGAUUUAAAUAAAACAUGUCUUUUUAUGUUAAGAAAUAUUGUUAUGGAUUUGACUUCAAAUGAUAAAGGUGAUGGAUUUGAAUUCAAAUGAUAAAGGUAAUUAGGGACAAUAAAUUUAAAAAAAUGUUUAAAUUACUAACAAACUCUAAAUCGCUUAGUAAUAUAUUCAAAAAAUUACUAUUUAAAACUUGAUAACUAAAUUUUAACAUUAAAUUAGUAAGUAAAAAAUAUGUUGAAUUUAUCAACGGAUGCCAUCCGUUAGUAAAUUUAAUAUGAAAUCCCGCGUAAAAUUCACGUAUUAUUUUUUAAAUUCACAUUUGUUCAGUUACCAACGGAUUUACUAAUGGAUUUGUUGGCAAUUCUUAGAGAGAAAAAAAUCUCACUUUUUUUUUUCAAAAUUUAAUAAGGGAUUGUGAAUCUGUUACUAAAUCGGUUAAUAAUUCACCUUUAUAAAUAUAAUACCAUAUUCUCUUUUUUAUCAUUUAUUCAUUUUAUCAUUUUUUUUUUCCAUUUUCUCUUCCUUUCUCUCAUUUUCUUUCUUUCUCUGUUACUUCCUUUUUAUUUCACUUUCUUAUUUCAUAAUUUUUUUCUCACAUUUUUUUCUAUUAUUUUCCUUUCAUCUCUUAUAGUUUUUUCUCUCAUUCUCUUUCCUCUUCUAUUAUUUUCUUUAUUUUUUCUCCAUAAUUUUCCUUUCACUUUCUCCAUUUUAUUUUCCAUCAUUUUCUUCCCUUUUCUCUCAUUUUCUUCAUUUUCUCUAUAAUUCAUUCAUAUUAGUUUCUCUCAUAUUUUUUUUUCUAUCAUCUAUCUACAUUUUUUCUAUUAUUUUCUCCUCAUUUAUUAUUUUUUAUAAUAAUUCAUUCCCUUUUUCUCUCAUUUCUCUAAUCAUCUUUUUACUUUACUUUCAUUCUUCCUUCUUUUUCAUAAUUUUUAAUUUUCUAUCAUUUUCUUUCUUUUCCUCUUUUUUCUUUUUUUUUAUCAUUUUCUCUCAUUUUAUAUAAUUUAUUUUUAUCUUAUUUCUAUGUUCUAUGUAUUUCUAAUAAAUAUUGGACACAAAUUAAAAACUUAAUAAUAAUAAUAAUAUAAUUUUGAAUUUUAUUAAAUUAAUAAAAAAUAAUAUUAAUAAUAAAAUUUAUUAUUUAAUCAAAUUAAGAAUUACUUUUAAAUUAUUUAAAUUUCUAAUGGAUUUACUAAUGGAUUUACCAAUGAAUGUUAGUAAAUUAUUUUUCUCUCAAUUUACUAACGGAUUUAAAAUCCGUUAGUAAUGGUACCGGAAACUCCGUUAGUAAAUCAAUUAGAAUUACUAACAGACUUGAAAGUCGUCGGUAAAAAUUUACUAACAAACUUUUUAACAACAGAUUAUCAGUUAUCAAUUUUAUCAAUGGAUUUUUAUUGGAUUGUCAACGAAAAAAUCCGUUGAUAAUCCGAAAGCUUCUUAUAGUGGUUGGACGAAUAUAGUAAAAGAUGCAUCAUAAGCUUGCUGUUUGUAGGCAACAAUUGGAUGUGUGGGGCCAGAAUUACAGGAACAAAGAGAUUGAAGAUUGUAGAACAUAGAUUCGUCGAUUGAGGGGUCCAAGAAUAUUGAAUGAUCCAUGAAAAUUCAUGCAUUAUGAAAACAAGUUGGCUGAACUUUUUGAACAGCGGGAGCAUUUCUGGAAACAACGGGCAAAGGAAGCUUGGUUAAGGGACGAUAAUUGUAUUACCCAGUUUUUCCAUGCGAAAGCCACUGCUAAGAAGAAAAGAAAUAAAAUAGAGCAGCUCAAAGACAGAAUAGAAUACAUUUAUAUAGUAUAUACCAGGUCUAUCAACAGUUAGCUAAUGGUUGAGUUGGAUAUAGAUUGUAUGAAUAACAAAUAUUAUCUCAAUCAACUCUAAACCUUAUCAUAACUCUAAACCUUAUCACAACUCUAACCUUAUCAUGAUUCUAAACCUUAUCACAACUCUAAGCCUUAUCACGCCCCCUCAAUUCGUGCGUUGUAGGGACAGGACAAAUUGUUAAAUGUUGCAUUAGAGUUUGAUGCCGCAUUUUGGAUAAUGGUUUAGUCAGAAUGUCAGCUAAUUAAUCUUUAGAGCAAAUAAAUUGUACUUUUACUUCAUUCUUUUGCACUUUAUCACGAACAAAAUGAAAAUCGACUUUCAAGUGCUUCAUCCGAGCAUGGAAAACAUGAUUGAUAGAAAGAUAUGUUGUGCCAAUAUUAUCACACCACAAGUUGGGAGUUUUGGUGGAAUGGAAAGUAAUGUCACGCAACAUUGAUUGAAUCCAAGUUAAUUCAGUGACAGCAAGACCAAUAGCUCGAUAUUCAGCCUCUGUUGAUAAACAAGCAACUGUUUGUUGUUUCUUGGAAUUCCAAGAUAUGAGAUUUGUGCCCAUGAAAAUAGCAUAACCUGUGGUAGACUUGCGAUCAUCAAUGUCACUCGCCCAAUCAGCAUCAGUAUAUAUAUUCAAAUCUGUGUUUGCCGAUUUGGAGAUGUAAAGACCAUGACCAACAGUGUGCUUGAGAUACCUCAAUAUACGCUUUACCAAACACCAAUUAUCCUCAGUAGGUGCAUGAAGAAACUGAGAAACCUUGUGAACUGAAUAACAGACCUCGAGUCGGGUUAAACUCAAGUAUUGCAAUCCACCUACUAUACUCCGAUAUAACGUGGGAUCACUCAUUGGGCGGCUUUGUAUAGUAGACUUCUUAUCUUUUGGAGUUGCUGGUGUGGAGAUUCCCUUGUAGUCUCCCAUUUGAGUUUUUUGAAGCAAGUCAAAUAUAUACUUUUGUUGAGUUAAUAAAAGUCAAUCAGCGGUCCAAGUUGCCUCCAUACCAAGGAAAUAUUCCAAUGUGCCCAAAUCUUUCAACAUGAACUCAGAUUUGAGAGAGGAAAUAAUAUGAUUCAAAGUAUGACUGCAUGUACCGGUCAUGAUAAUAUCGUCCACAUACACAAGGAUAAACAACUUGAUAUUGUUCUUGACAUAGCAAAAUAGAGAGGAAUCUGCAGGAGAGACUCAAAACCCUUGAUUGAUUAAGGCUGAGAAUAGACAUUUAUACCACUGACGUGGAGCUUGACGAAGACCGUAUAGUAAACGGCGUAGACAACAAACAUGAUCUGGUUUAGAUGUAACAGUGAAACCUGGAGGCUGCUCCAUGUCAACUUCAUCAUCCAAAUCUCUAUGCAGAAAAGCAUUAGAAACAUCUAAUUGCUUCACUAACCAACCAUUUGAGACGACUAAGGACAAAAUUAUUUGAAUAGUAGUUGGUUUGACAACCGGUGAAAAGGUUUCAAAGUAAUCAAUGCCAGGACGUUGAUGAUAUCCUUUAGCAACAAGGCGAGCCUUAUAUCUAUCAAUACUGCUAUCAGAUUUCUGUUUAACUCUGAACACCCAUUUACAACCAACUAUAUUCUGUGCCUUGUCCCGAGGGACGAAUUUCCAAGUUCCGGCUUGAAUUAAAGCAUUAAGCUCUUGAAUCAUUGCAUCACGCCAAUUUGGAUCUUUGACAGCUUGAGUAUAGCAACUAGGUACUGAGAAAGAAGCAGUCACAUUAUUUAACUUUGGAGACCAUGGAGUUUGCAAUUUGAGCUUGCCCGUUUGCUGUCUAGUCACCAUGGAAUGUGUCUUAAUUUGCAAAGGAACAUGACGAAAAUUGAUCAGCUCGAUUUGGUUGGUAUUUAGUGAUACGGUGCGCUUAGGUGAUGGGCUUGCUAUGUGGGUCUGACUUGUGUCAGUUGUGGUAUUGUGUUGGGUAAGGGCUGGAGUAAUGGAAGCAGCAUCAUUUUGAUGUCUAAGAGAGGUUUGUAAGUUGCGUUUUGGAGCUGCUCCUAGGAUACCAGCUUGUGUAUUUGACAAAGGUGGAAUGGUGGUAAUGGAAUGGACGUAGGACUCACUUCAGCCACUGAGGUAGUGCCAUUAUCAUCCAACUUCUUAAAAGGAAACUCCUGCUAAAAAAAAAAGACAUGGCGUGAGAUAAAAAGACGACCAGAAGAAAUUUCAAGGCAAGUAUACCCUUUAUGAAGUUUACUAUAGCCAAGAAAAAUACAACGAGAAGACUUAAGAGCAAGUUUGUGAGAUGAAUAAGGUUUCAACCAAGGAUAACACAAUGAACCAAACACACGCAAUUUAUCAUAAGUAGAUUUCUCAUGAAAUAAAAUUUCAUAGGGAGUGCGUUUGUUAUUAGAUGAAGAGGGCAAUCUAUUUAUUGUGUAGGUAGCAGUAUUGAAGGCAUAGGUCCAGUCUCAACAAUAUGCCUAUGCUUUCGUUCUGCACAUUCAUUUUGUUCAGGAGUGCGAGGACAAGAAACCCUUUGUGAAAUCACAUGUUGUUUCAAGUAAUUGGACAAAGACCGAAAUUCUCCCCCCCAAUCCGAUUGAAAGUUUUUGGUAGGCAAUCCAAAAUAUUUUUCCACUAAACACCGAAACUGAACAAAGACAGAGAAGACAUCAGAUUUUUGUCUAAGAAAAUAUAACCAGCAAUACUUACUAAAAUGAUCAUAAAAAAUCACAUAAUAGCGAAAACCAUCAACAGAAACAACAGGGGCAGGACCCCAAACGUCAGAACAAAUGAGUUCAAGAGGCUGUUUAGCACGAUAAAGAGAAUCAACAAAUGGUAAUUUAUGUGAUUUACUCACAUUGCAAGCAUGACAAUGAUGAAAUUUAUUACUAGAAAGAAAAGAAAUACUAUUAGAUCUAAGAACAUCAUCAACAACUCGAAAAUUUGCAUGUCCUAGCCGCUCAUGCCAUAAUGAAACUGUUGCUGGGAAAGCUUUUGGAGAGAAUGACCGAACUUGUUGCGAAGGAAAAAGAUAAAGGCCAUUGUCACUCGGGCCUUGGUAUAAUACCUGCUUCGUGGGGAUAUCCUUCACAAAAUAUUUAUCAGGGAAAAAUUCAAUUGAAAUGAUAUUUUGUGAGGUAAAAGCAGAAACUGACAUUAAAUUGUUAGUGAUAGCAGGUGAAUAAAGAAUAUCAUUCAAACGAAAAUUAUGACCAUUAAUAGAAGUAAUUGAAGAACCACGAGAUAAGACAAAAAGUGUUUUACCAUCGGCAAUUGUGAGAGCGGGGGCAUCAUUGACAGGAAUAGGAUGAGCUAUAGUUUCCUGAUUAGCUGCUAGAUGAUAAUUUUCACCGGAGUCUACAGUCUAAGAUUGAAGAGGUUCAGUUUGAGUUUUGGCUACAUUGGCUUGAUGAUUGGUGCGAGGUAAGGGACAUUGUCUUUAAACAUGUCCUAUUCCAUUGUAAUUAAAACAUGUUAAAGUAGAAGUGCCACGACUAGAAGCAUAACUAGACUGCCCAGAACCGCGUCCUUGAUAUGAUAACUGUCCACCACCCCCACGGUAACCACGGCCACGCCCUCUACUACCUCGCCCAGAAUUUGCAUAGUGAGCAGUAGCAGGAACGACAUAAUUAAGAGUGAGAGAAUCAAACUUCAAUUGGGAUUCUUCACUGAGUAGUAAUGCAUACAACUCAUCAAAAGUAAUCUGAGUAUUUCGUGCUUCUAUAGCACGCGUAAAAGGACGAUAAUCUGAACCCAAUCCUUCCAAAACCUCGCACAUAAGAUUUUCCUCUGUAACAGAUCCUUCUAACACACAAAGCUGAUCAUAAUACGAUUUCGCUUUGCGCAUGUAAUUGUCAAUCGAAUCAUUACCUCGCUACAGAUGCUUGAGUUGAUUACGCAGCUGCUGAAUCCGCGUUUUAGCACCGGCGGAAUAGAUUAUAGUGAGGUUGUCCCAGGCAUCCUUGGCAGUGGUGCAACGAGUGAUCUGAUGAAGAAUAGAUUCAGAAACGAAACAAUUGAUCCAGCUACGAACGAUCUGAUCGUGACAGAACCAAUCCAUAAAUGCAGGAUUUGGUUCGCCAGUGGAUAAAAAUUGAUCUUAUAAGGCCCAGGCCCAGGCCCAUAAAAAAAAAAAAAAGAGGAGAGAGCAUUAAAGCUCUGGUUUCGGGAAUGUCCCGAAACAUUCCCGAAACCCAUCCGUCUCCCUCCUCCAAAAACAGAGCUUGCUCUUUUAGUUUAAAAAAAAAAAUUCCUUCUCUUUACUUCAAAUCUCCUUCCUCUCAACCCAAUCAACCCAUAAACUUUUGAAAUCCUCAGCUAGAUCCUAUUUUAAACCUAUAUCCUGCUCAGAAAUUCAAUAUUUUCUUCUAGAGGUUCCAAAAUUGGGUAGGUGAGUUUUAUCCCUUUUAUUCAAUUUAUUGCGAUAUAGUUUAUUUUCUCUACUUUUUAAUAGUGAUUUUUGUGAUUUGAGGAUAAAAAUGGGUUAUGUUUUAGUUAGCUCCAAUCAAUGGGGUUUUAUAUUUCUUUUUGGGAUUAAUGAUUUUCUUAGGUUGAUCUAAAUAAUAUUUAUAGGUUAUUGAGUAUUUUUGUUGAGGUUGUUCAUUUUUGGAGGUUUAACUAUGCCGAAAUACUGCCCAAAUUUUCUUAAAAAUAUAUAUAUAAAAAUAUAUUUAAAAUUUCGUAUUUUACAUUUUAUAUUAUUAUCCUAGUAUAUUUAUUUAUUAUUUGAUAUAUUAUUUUCUUUUUAAUUCUAGGAGAGGAUCCAGCUUUUGGGAUAGGUAAUAGGAGUGCUCCUGCGACCUAGGUUAUUCUAUCCUCAGUACUGGUGAGUGGAUAAAUAUAUAACAUUGAUAUUUUUCUUAAAUAUAUGUAUAUGUGUAUAGUUACUUUGUUUAUUUAAAAUGGGAAAGGAUAAAGUUAAUUUAUAUUUCUUAACUAAAUGGAAAUUGAAUUCAAAGCACAGCUGAAUAAAUAGCCGAUUACACUCUGUAUAUGCACCGAACAGAUAACACCUUGAUGACAGGUGAUUUAUUUUCAGCAUGAUAUAUAUUUAUAUUGUCUUUGGGACAGCGCUUGAUAUACAGAUAGCCUUUGGGGCGUAUGUCAGGUGGUCACCCUUUGGGGGUAGCUCUGCACAUGUGUAUGACCAG
Molecule: long non-coding RNA, 8208 nt
Filed under: Manihot esculenta (cassava)
Lineage: Eukaryota; Viridiplantae; Streptophyta; Magnoliopsida; Malpighiales; Euphorbiaceae
Description: long non-coding RNA (MESC_LNC012880)
Source: RNAcentral